UCACAUGUUCCACUUCUUACUACAAUGUGAUGUAGUGGUCAAGGUUCUCUUAUCCAAGAGGUACUACAAAAUCGAUUCGAUUUUAUCCUUUGCAAGGUAAACCUAAUCACACAACGUACGCUGCCCUGUUAGGCCGCAUAUGGCAACGGUUCUCUGUGCGAACGCCAGCAUUUGAACUUCCCAUCGUAGCUCCUCAAGUACUAGUCCCCACCGAUACCUCCCAGGGUCAAAAAUGAAUUUCAAUAAUCCACCGGUACCAC
RNAcentral lists this long non-coding RNA (260 nucleotides) under Setaria viridis. RNAcentral's name for it is "long non-coding RNA (SVIR_LNC003464)". The record is from RNAcentral. Lineage: Eukaryota; Viridiplantae; Streptophyta; Magnoliopsida; Poales; Poaceae.